CAAAAACUAGGGACCUGAGUAGGCGCCCAGGAACACCCUCUCUACCCCGGGCUCACUGCACCCCCAGGGCCACCUGGGGGAAAGCAGCGCCACCUGGGGAGGUCCCCUGGGCUGCCAGCACGGGGAGCCCAGCUUAGGCCAGGGCUCGGCUCUGCGCAAAGAGGCCAAGCGGCAGGACAGCGCCGCGGGUCCCUGCCUGGCCAGCAUGCCAGUGGUGUGGGGGGUCCUGAGCCAGGGGACCCGGAGGUGGGGUGAAGAGGCAGGGCGUGGCCGGGAAUCCUGGGAAGGGGGUUCUGACACCAGGCGGCCCCUGUCCUGUCUGCUCGGCCUCAGAUGCCCAGGGUCCUUUAAAGACUGAUUUAUUCGAUAGAGAGGGGGGGGAGAGGGCCCGCAGGGGGAGGGACAAAGGAAGGGAGAGCGAGAAUCUCAAGCAGACCCCCCACCAAGCACGGAGACGACAGACAGAUGAACAUGGGGCUCCAUCCCCCCACCCAGGAGGCCGUGACCCGAGCCCAACUUGCAAGUCGGAUGCUUCACAGACUGAGCCACCCGGGCGCCCUGACACAGGCCCUUUAAAUUUAUACCCGAAAGUGGAGCCCCAGCAUCCCGAGCUUCUGAGGCAGCCGCCAGCCCAGCUCCAAGGCCCCCUGGGCCGAGCACCACACUGCCACACAGUGCGCCCACAGCCUGCACCGGCCACCCCAGGGGAGGCCGCCUUCCCCAGGCCCCACAAGCUUCCUGCCCUCCUCCAGGACUGUCUCUCCCCUCCUGCCUCUCUCCCCAUUCCUCCCACAUUCAGGGCCUGGAGCGGGAGCCGGACCUUCACAGUGGAGCCCAGGUGGAGGCUGAGAGCCUGCGGGUCCCAAGCGGCGGCAGCGGGAGGUGCUCUGGAGAAGGACGAGGCCUCUCAGGCAGCAGCGCGGGACACCCGCCUGGCAGGCCCCGGGGAAGGGAUGUCAGUGGCAGCAUCUAUGCCCCGUGGGGAUGGCAGCAGCAGCAAAGGCGGGAACGCGGACAGCGAUGCAGACGCUCCGGGCGGAUAUAAAGGUAGAGGGGGGAGGGUGUGUGUGUGUGUGCGUGCGUGUGUGUGUCUGUGUGUUUUCCUUAAUUGAAAAAAAAUGUCGCUUGUGACUCCUGACUUAGAGCAAGAACAAGACGGCCUCUUGAGCCUGGUGGACGCGUUGGGUGGAGGGUGGGGCGGGGGCUGGCGGAGGGUCCAUCCCCUCAGGCAGGUGAGCUGUUCUUCCUCAGUUAAAAACAACCCAGAAAACAAGACAAUUACCAGGUAAGAAAAGUUUCUGAAAAAGGAACCACCGUACACGCGUGGGAUACGACAGUGUCAGGGAACAGUAUUUACAGGGGCUGUUUACACGGGGCUAGUUCGGCACGGAAAGCAGGGUAUUACGUGAGUUAGCUGCUCCAAGUAUGAAUGUUAUUGCUGUUGUUUUUCCCUUCGUUAAAAAUCCUCUUUCAGCGUAGAAAUAAUAAGUAAUUAAACUGAAUACACAAUCAUCUGAGUAAUGGAUAUUACACACAGGGAGAGUCAACAGCCGACGAGAAAGUUCCUCUCCUCCCUUCCGCAGAGACGGCACUGCAGCUGCACGAACCAAAGCCAGGUCUCGGGCCCCUUGGCCUCGGCCCCCCGAGGAUGGAAGCGGCCAGGACAAGCCGAAGCCCCCUGGCUUCACCCAGGGAGCUGCCCAGGAGGGCUGGAGCUGCUGGUGACCGGGGCGCUGGGGACGGCGGGUCCCAGCCACCCCAGCUCUGGCCGCAGGCCCCUCGGGCGGAGGCGGGGGAGGGGAGCCCAGGUGGCCGCAGAGGGUCCGGCUCCUCCCGACCUUCUGGGACAAAGCUGGCGAGUGGAGGCGUGGACCCAGCGGUCGAGACAGUGACCAGAGGUGGGCAGGGCGAGGGGAGGUGGGGCCCCUGCACAGAACUUAGAGAAGCUCACCGCCCUCUGGAGCCCAAAACCGAAAAGUGACCGGGUGGCCCCAGGAGACGGAUCCCAGGGGCCCUCUGCCCUCCCACAACUUUCGCAUUGGCCACAGGGCAUGGCACAGCCACCCAGAAGCACAGGGGUACACUUAAAGCUCUGCUCCGACGAAACCAUUUAGUUUCCCUUGAAGAAGUGACUGAGAAAACACAACUCUGGAAAAACAAGGCUGAGUGUUGUGUAGCACGACCGGCCCUCCAGGACGCGGUAAUAAUGCCCAUCGAUGGGGACACAUACGGCAGAGUUAACAUUCCAUGCAUACAGAUUUCAUAACUGCAAAAGAAAAACAAAAGCAAAAAAAAAAAACCAAACGAACGCUGCGUAUCUAUGGUGUCCCUUUUGCAUUGCACUGUAGGGGGUCCAGCAGCACCUGCGCCCCUCCCCCCAGUAAACCACGGGCGAGAACCCUGCAGAUGACAUGGUCACCAAGCCUCUGCUGGUUGCGGCGGCGGGCGGCGCCUGUCCCUGGGCCAGCGGUCUCCACUUCCGUCUGCGCUCACAGCUGCCUCGGCGUUAGAACAGGGUCAAGCGAAGAAUUCUGGUAAGAUCUUUCUCAUGUACAUAAAUACCGUAAUCUCAGGAUGGGUAGCCGCCUCUCGUCUACUGGGAAAUCAUUUUUCAAGCUUGGGCAUAAAAAACCUUAUACAAUUUGCAUGAACAGUUGAGAGUAAACGAGAUUAUUUGGAAUAAAUGCAAGUAACUUAUUCUGAUAGUGGCA
Molecule: long non-coding RNA, 2711 nt
Filed under: Ursus maritimus (polar bear)
Lineage: Eukaryota; Metazoa; Chordata; Mammalia; Carnivora; Ursidae
Description: lncRNA (ENSUMAG00000010404.1)
Source: RNAcentral